CCUACGGGUGGCAGCAGUGGGGAAUAUUGCACAAUGGGGGAAACCCUGAUGCAGCGACGCCGCGUGAGUGAAGAAGUAUUUCGGUAUGUAAAGCUCUAUCAGCAGGGAAGAAAAUGACGGUACCUGAUUAAGAAGCCCCGGCUAACUACGUGCCAGCAGCCGCGGUAAUACGUAGGGGGCAAGCGUUAUCCGGAUUUACUGGGUGUAAGGGGAGCGUAGACGGCGGCACAAGUCUGGGGUGAAAUGCCGGUGCUUAACCCCGGAACUGCUUUGGAAACUGUGCAGCUAGAGUGCAGGAGAGGUAAGGGGAAUUCCUGGGGUGGCGGUGAAAUGGGUAGAUAUAGGAGGAACACCAGUGGCGAAGGCGGCUUACUGGACUGUAACUGACGUUGAGGCUCGAAAGCGUGGGGAGCAAACAGGAUUAGAUACCCCAGUAGUC
Molecule: ribosomal RNA, 439 nt
Filed under: uncultured bacterium
Lineage: Bacteria
Description: partial 16S ribosomal RNA
Rfam family: Bacterial small subunit ribosomal RNA
Source: RNAcentral